UAGGGUGAAAUUGAACUACUGGGGGAGAAAUCAUCUUUAUGGAAUAUUGCUAAAUAAGUUAGUUACAGUGUUUACCCAAAUGAUUGUGAAGUGUGGAGGAGUCUUUAAAUGUUUCACAAACAUUUCUUUUGAAAUGGGUUUUUCAUGUUCAUUCUUCAAUUCAGACAUACACAAUAUAAAUUCCAUGCUAAUUAACAGAUUUAUAAAAAUUCCAGAAAAUCAAAAAUGUUCAUUAUUAACUAAUUGGAUUUCGAGAAUGAUAAACAAUACUAAAAUAUGAUUAAUAAUUCAUGUAACAUGAAUACCCAUUUACUCAUGUUGUGUUUGGGCUAAAUGAAUUUAUACACCUACACAUUUUUUUAACACACCCGGGAGAUAUAAUAUUAUACGUGAAU
Long non-coding RNA from Daphnia pulicaria, 395 nucleotides. RefSeq lists it as uncharacterized. The record is from RefSeq and is a predicted model, not a curated record. Lineage: Eukaryota; Metazoa; Arthropoda; Branchiopoda; Diplostraca; Daphniidae. The transcript is spliced from 2 exons.